RNAcentral lists this non-coding RNA (341 nucleotides) under Myotis davidii. RNAcentral's name for it is "Eukaryotic small subunit ribosomal RNA". It matches the Rfam family "Eukaryotic small subunit ribosomal RNA", at positions 636 to 983 of the family's 1831-position model. Lineage: Eukaryota; Metazoa; Chordata; Mammalia; Chiroptera; Vespertilionidae. The record is from Rfam by way of RNAcentral.
CUCAUUUGAUUACAUGGCUUUUCUGUCUAGGAAUUAUGGAAACAGGAUGCUUUAUUUGAUCUUAGGAUAUAAUAUUACUGAAAGUUUUUGCUAACGUUAAUAAAAAGGAACUGCAAUAGAUACAUUCAAAUGUCUGAAACAGGCUCAUGAGUUAGAACACUGAGCUCUUUGCACUCAGAGUGUGGAAGUCAGAAUUCUGACUCCACUCAGCAGUGAGUCUCUGUGUUUGGAGGGACGGCCGGGGGCAUUCGUAUUGCGCCGCUAGAGGUGAAAUUCUUGGACCGGCGCAAGACGGACCAGAGCGAAAGCAUUUGCCCAAGAAUGUUUUCAUUAAUCAAGAA